This 253-nucleotide ribosomal RNA is filed under the name uncultured bacterium. RNAcentral's name for it is "partial 16S ribosomal RNA". It matches the Rfam family "Bacterial small subunit ribosomal RNA", at positions 524 to 776 of the family's 1533-position model. The record is from RNAcentral.
UACGUAGGGUGCGAGCGUUAAUCGGAAUUACUGGGCGUAAAGCGUGCGCAGGCGGUGAUGUAAGACAGGUGUGAAAUCCCCGGGCUUAACCUGGGAACUGCAUUUGUGACUGCAUCGCUGGAGUGCGGCAGAGGGGGAUGGAAUUCCGCGUGUAGCAGUGAAAUGCGUAGAUAUGCGGAGGAACACCGAUGGCGAAGGCAGUCCCCUGGGCCUGCACUGACGCUCAUGCACGAAAGCGUGGGGAGCAAACAGG